Molecule: RNA transcript, 6138 nt
Organism: Musa acuminata AAA Group (dessert banana)
Lineage: Eukaryota; Viridiplantae; Streptophyta; Magnoliopsida; Zingiberales; Musaceae
Gene name: sister chromatid cohesion protein SCC2-like
Exons: 29
Source: RefSeq, a predicted model, not a curated record
AAUCGGAAAAGCUUCGUCGUCGCCCAUUUCUCCGACCCUCCCUAUUCAAGUCGGCCCACCUCCAGCGGAGCCCUCGCUCUCCACCCGACCCUCGCUCGUCUCCUGUUCCUUUCGAAACCCCCCUCCUCCAUCUCCCCCAAAUUGUUAGGGCUUCUCGGGGUUUCCAACCCCAGAAACCCUAAUUUCUAACCCCGAUUCUGCCCUAAGCCUUCGAUCUCCAUGCCCUUGAUCCCUGCGUCGGCCUGAUCCAUGGAGUUCAACCAGGACCUGGGAUUCGAGCGGUACUGCCGCCUGUCGAACACCACCCACUCGGAGAUCGCUCCUUCCUUGUCCCUGCCCUCGCUCCCCGUGUGCUUUGGGUCCUUCGACCAGCAGCUCGGCCUCUCCGACGUGCCCGGAGGGUCCCGCUCCGGCGACCGCCCGGAUAUUCUCGCGCACGCGGGAACGAUCGCGGAGCUGCUUAGGAAUUGCGAUGUUGACUACUUAAAUCUCAAGGAAAACGCGAGAGUCGUUCCUGAUGACUUGGGGGACCGUUCGAGGCUCUAUCAAGAAGUCGUCAAGUAUAACCCCGAUGCCUUUAAGUGUUUCUAUCGAGUUUCUCAGGUCCUCUUCAGGAGCAGAGAAGGUCUAAUCAAACGAUAGAAAAGAAACCCUUUGGACAAGGUGUUUCCCAUGUACAAAGGGAUAAUGGGGGUGAAUGUGAUGACCGGUCAGAAAAGAACUUGAUCAUUGAACCACCUUCUUUUGCUUCCUCAAGAAAACCGAAAAUAAAAAAGAAAGAAAGUGAUUCUGUUCCAUCAUCUGCGGGGCCAGAUCUUCUUGACCAUCAAGGAAUAGUUGGAAGCUUUUGUGAGAUGGCUGAAGAUUUUUGUGGGAGGGCAGAGAUACCUGAUGAUGCGGAAGGUGCAGAGGUGUCAUCUAUUCCGCUGACUGACAUUAAAACACUUCUAAAUCAGAUAAUGUCUAUACGUUCAAAGAAAGUCUUGCAGUUAAUUCCACUCAACACUCUUGUGAGACUCAUAAAUAUUUUAGAUCGUCAAAUACAAUGUGCACAAGGCCUGUCGAUUGAUGGAAAUGACAAUGCUGAUGCCGAUGCUGCAAACUUGGUCCUGUGUGCUUUGGAGUCUACUCAUGCAUCACUGGGAAUUAUGGCCCAUCAAGAUAUGCCAAAGCAGCUAUAUAGAGAAGAAGUCAUUGAAAGAAUUCUUGAUUUCUCAAGACAUCAGAUCAUGGAAAUCAUCGCAGCAUGUAAUCCAUUGCACAGUCUUCCCAAACCAAGUGAAAAUGCUCCUUUUGAUGGUGAUGAGGAAGAUGAUGAUGAUGUAGAUAAUACCAAUAGUUCAUUAGCCAAAAGAAGGCGCUAUAAUAGGAAUGUGAAUCUGAGGAAGUCUUCCGGAAGCAAAAUUUCAGCACCAGUGUAUGGUGUGGUUCAGAAACUUUGCUCAAUUCUAGGCUUUCUCAAGGAUCUAUUGUCUGUGGAGCGACUCUCAGAUAGUUGCAUUCUACAGUUGGUUAAGACCAGUUUUUCAACUUUCUUGGCAGAUAACAUUCAGCUCUUGCAAUUAAAGUCUAUAAAUUUAAUAUGUGGGGUGUAUUCUUCAUACACACAGCACCGGAGUUUCUUGAUAGAUGAAACGCUGCAGCUUCUUCGGAAGUUACAAUUCAACAAACGGGCUAUUAGAGCUUAUCAUCUCCCCGAUGAGGAACAAAAACAGAUUCAGAUGAUAACAGCUUUGUUGAUUCAAUUGGUGCAAUUCAGUAGCAAUCUUCCUGAAAGUUUGAAGACAGCAGCAAACUGGAAUGCAGUUUUAGAUAUAUCAUCUGAUUCAAGUAGCCCAGCUAAAUCUUAUGAAGCUGCAACUCAAACCUGUUGUCUUUUCUGGACCAGUGUUCUUCAGCGUUUGACCACUGCAAAAUCUCAAGAUGUAUCAGAGUCGAAGAUGAUCUUAGAGAAUAUUAUCAUGGAUCUGCUGACGACUUUGAAUUUACCUGAAUAUCCUGCUUCUGCUCCAAUAUUGGAGGUUCUCUGUGUCUUGCUGCUUCAAAAUGCUGGAUUGAAAUCUAAAGAUAUCUCAGCACGUUGCAUGGCUGUUGACCUUCUAGGAAUGAUUGCAGCAAGGCUGAAACGUGAUGCUGUGACUUGCAGCAGGGAUAGGUUCUGGAUCCUACAAGAGCUGGUCGAUGCAAAUGAUGAUAUUUCCGUUGGCACGAAAGAUGCAUGCUCUGUUUGUCUUAAAAGAAGAGGUGCAAACAUCAUCUGUCAUCUCUGCAAGAGAUGCUUUCAUCCUGAUUGCUUGGGAAUUUCGGGACAAGAAAUGUUGCUUCGGGACUGGUCUUGUCAUAUAUGUCUAUGCAAGAAGCAGCUAAUUACUCUGCAUUCAUACUGCAAUAUGCAGAGCAAGGAUAAUGCUAAGAUAAGCUUAGUUUCUGCUAGCACCACUUCUGGAGAUUCUGACUGUGUCACGAAAUUGGAAGUUGUUCAACAAAUUCUUUUGAACCAUCUGCAACAAAAUGGUUCCGAAGAUGAUGUGAAUUUGUUUACUCGCUGGUUUUAUCUUUGCUUGUGGUACAAGGACGACUCUCAAUCUCAAGAAAGGGUUAUUUAUUAUCUUGCUAGACUAAAGUCAAAGGCCAUUUUGCGGGACUCUGGUAGUUCUUUAUUGUUGUCAAGAGAUGGGGCUAAGAAGAUAUGCUUGGCACUUGGGCAAAAUAAUUCUUUCUCUAGGGGAUUUGACAAAAUUCUUUCACUGCUCUUGGCAAGCUUGAGGGAGAACUCUCCAGUUUUGCGAGCCAAGGCAUUAAGAGCAGUCAGUGCCAUAGUUGAAGCUGAUCCUGAGGUUUUAUGUGAUAAACGUGUCCAAUGUGCUGUUGAAGGAAGGUUUUGUGACUCUGCGAUCUCAGUUCGGGAAGCUGCUCUUGAACUUGUUGGCAGACAUAUUGCUUCUCAUCCUGGAGUUGGUUUGAAGUAUUUUGAAAAAGUUGCUGAACGGAUAAAGGAUACCGGAGUCAGUGUGCGCAAACGUUCCAUUAGAAUUAUCCGCGACUUGUGUAUUUCUGAAUCAAACUUCUCUGAAGCAACUCGUGCUUUUAUUGAGAUCAUUUCUCGUGUUACCGAUGAGGAAUCAAGCGUACAGGAUUUAGUAUGCAAAACAUUCUUUGAACUUUGGUUCGAGGAACCAACUGGAAGUCAGAAGCACUUGAUAGCUGAUGGUAGCUCUGUACCUAUGGAAGUAGCAAAGAAGACUGAGCAGAUUGUUGAUAUGCUGAGAAAUAUGCCUAACAGUCAUCAUCUUGUUACAGUUAUAAAGCGUAAUUUAACACUUGAUUUUCUUCCCCAAUCGGCUAAAGCUACUGGGAUAAAUGCAGCUUCUUUGGCAUCUGUGCGUAAACGCUGUGAAUUGAUUUGCAAACGUUUAUUAGAAAGAAUAUUGCAGGUAGAGGAGGAGACUAGUGAUAAAGAGGAAGUUUGUGCACUCCCAUAUGUUCUUGCUUUGCAUUCAUUUUGCGUUGUGGAUCCAACACUUUGUGCUCCAUCCACCGAUCAAUCACAAUUUGUUAUAACUCUUCAGCCAUACCUUAAGAAUCAGGUUGACAACAAAUCAGUUGCUCAGCUGCUCGAAAGCAUAAUAUAUGUAGUCAAUGCUGUUCUGCCAUUGCUUCGGAAGCCACCACAGAGUGUUAUUGAGGAACUUGAACAGGACCUUAAGCACAUGAUUGUUCGCCAUUCUUUCCUGACAGUCGUUCAUGCUUGUAUCAAGUGCCUUUGUUCGCUUAGUAAAAUUGCUGGCAAAGGUUCAAGUAUUGUCGAAUAUUUGAUUCACAUUUUCUUCAAGCAUUUGCAAGGUUCAGGUUCUGAUAAUAUGCAGCUUUUGGGUCGUUCACUUUUCUGCCUUGGGCUUCUUCUAAGGUAUGGGGGAGAGCUAAUAGUUAAGACUGAUAGUCAACAUGUUCAUAUUGACAAGAGUCUCUCAUUACUGAAAAGAUAUCUUGUCAUGGAGGACUUUGGCUUAAAGGUUCGAGCUUUACAGGCAUUAGGCUAUAUAUUGAUUUCUAGUCCUGAGUAUAUGUUGGAAAAAGACAUUGGGAAAAUAUUAGAGGCCUCACUGGCCUCUAGUGCUGAUUUCAGGCUUAAGACGCAAGCAUUGCAAAACCUGUAUGAAUAUCUUCUUGAUGCGGAAACCAAAAUGGGUACAGAUUGUGGCAGUAAGAAUGCAACUUCACAUACUGAAGGUGCUGGAAACAAAGUGCCUGUAGCUGCAGGUGCAGGUGAUACUAAUAUUUGUGGAGGAAUUGUUCAGCUUUAUUGGAACAGUAUUCUUGAAAGAUGCUUGGAUGGCAAUGACCAAAUUCGUCAAACUUCUCUCAAGAUUGUGGAAAUUGUACUACGUCAAGGACUAGUCCAUCCUAUUACGUGUGUUCCAUACCUCAUAGCUCUUGAAAUUGAUCCACUGGAUGUGAAUUCAAAAUUGGCCCAUCACUUGUUGAUGAACAUGAAUGAGAAGUAUCCUGCUUUUUUUGAAAGCCGUUUGGGUGAUGGCCUUCAGAUGUCAUUUAAAUUUGUUCAGUGCAUAGCCAGUAAUCAUAAUUUGGUCUCAGGACUUCAAAAAGGUAAAUCUGAUGGUACUCCGAUAGCAUAUGUCCGGCCAGGUAUAUCUCGUAUAUACAGGCUUAUUCGAGGAAAUCGUAUUGCAAGGAACAAGUUCAUUCACUCAAUAGUGAGGAAAUUUGAGUCUGGUGGUGGGAAUUAUUUACCGAUUGGCUUUCUUGUAUAUUGCACAGAGAUUCUUGCAUCUCUCCCUUUCACAUGUCCUGAUGAACCCCUUUACUUGAUAUAUGAUAUCAAUCGAAUAAUACAAGUUAGGGCAGGCGCACUCGAGGCAAACAUGAAAACCUGGAGUUCUGUUUCGCAACACCGGGAUUCAUUGGAGAUGCCCAGUGAAAUUGACAAAGUUAAUGCCAAUUCUGGUUGGCCUAAUAUAUCUGAGCAUGAUUUCACAGAGAUUGCAGACAAGAUGUCAGACAGCUCACAUGGCAUUUCAACAGAAGACCUGCAGAAGUUUCAGGCUGAUUGUCAUGAGGCAAUUGCUCUGCAACUCCUAUUGAAGCUGAAAAGGCACUUGAAAAUUGUGUAUGGUCUAAAUGAUGCCAGGUGUCAGGCGUUUUCUUUAAAGGAGCUUCCAAAGCCUGGAGAGACGAUUUCUAAGCAAAACAUUCCUUUCAACAUUAGUGACACUCCAAUCAGUUUGCCUACAUCCUAUCAAGCCAUGGUUGAAAAGUAUCAGGAGUUCAAGGUAUCGUUGAGAGACGAUGCAAUAGACUAUUCUACAUAUACAGCUAGUGUCAAGAGGAAACGCCCUACUCCAAGAAGUUCGAGAGGCGGAAAAGCUGCCCAACGAAAAGGUGAGGAAGACGAUGACGAUGUGGAUGAUGAAGACUGGACAGGUGGGCCACGCGUGCUUGAUUUCAGUGGCCAAAGGAGUAAUGGUAUGCGGAUGACCAGGCAACGGUUGCAAGUGUAACAGAUGUGUAGCUUUUCUGUACAUUACAGGAACAUCGCAGUAGGGUUGGCAGUAUUGGUACAUAGAAGUAACAAAAAGUGGGCAAGGCUUUGGUUGUAGUUAGUUAGGUGGCCUCAUUUAACUGGAGCGGCUGAUGUGUCCCGUCCCCAAGCCCCUUUGGUAUUUUCUCGUUGGGCUGCUGUUCUAAGGACCGUCAAGAAUGUGCUCCAGCUUCAAAGUGUCAAGUGCGCCGCUGCCGAGUCGUGUGACGCUCCUUGUCGAAGCUCAAGUUUCUAUCUUUGAUGGAGUGUCUGCAGUUGAAUACAUCAACACAAUGUGCCUUAAAUGUCGGGACGUAGCACUUCAUUAUUUUUUGGGAGGAGGGAGAAGACAGCAAAAGCGAACUCGAGGGUUAUGUUCACGUUUUGUUUUUAUAUUCUUUUUCACAUCACAAUAUUCUGAUCGCUUUAUCCUUUUUAUUCUUUUCUGAUGUCACAAUGUGACAGGCAGACUGGCCUCCUUCCUCUUCCGUAGCAUACCCAUCAGGUGAGCUCGAUGCCUGCAGGACGACGUCCGGAUCUCAGCUCGCGUUAAGAUGCGUUGCUUGGGUCCCACGUCUACGUUGCGUGUCGUUUGGACA